Molecule: long non-coding RNA, 1649 nt
Organism: Oxyura jamaicensis (ruddy duck)
Lineage: Eukaryota; Metazoa; Chordata; Aves; Anseriformes; Anatidae
Exons: 2
Source: RefSeq, a predicted model, not a curated record
UAUCUUCUGUAUGCUGAAAAAAAGUUAGAAGUGAAGUCUUCACAGAUGGUCCUAUUCUUAAUGUAUGCAGGCACACACUGAAGCUUCUAAAAUUGCUUGCUGGUAUUCUGGUUGCAAACAUUCUGCAUAUACUGCUGUGUCUUUCUUUAUGUGAGACAACUGAGCCAUCUCAUCUGAUUGACAGAGGCAUUACUGCUAAGGAAUAGAAUUCAGUUUUCAAUAAGCCAUGGCUUUAAUUUUUUUUUUUUUCAUUUUAAUUUUCACCAUGACUACCAUAUUAGAAUGAACUCAAGGUGCUUCUCAAGCUGGCCACUUCUUUACCUUUAUCUAGGAGUUACUCAUGCUUUUCUUGUUUUCUUAACCGAGUUUUGAAAGCAUGUAAAACUUUAUGUAAAGAGAAGAAAAUGUGUCUUGAAGUACAAAUUUCCACAGACAAUUUUAGCAAAAUGUAUGGCAUUAUUACAGGGAAGUCUAAUCAGAGUUAUGCAAACCCCUAUGGGAAAAAUAAGUUUUUAUAGAGAACAGUAAUGUUCAUCACAGUUUUUACUGUUAAUUGUCAGAGUAACUGCUUUCAUAAGAUUUCAUAACCUGUAAUUUUUGUACAUAUGAUAGCUAUAGUUAAAGCAUUUGUUUUCUUUUGGUUUGGCAAUGUUCAUUCCAUUCUGGCUUUGGGGCUUGUAAUAGUUAACAUUUUAGUGCCAAUUUGAGAAAGCCUCCAACUUCAAUUUCAUCGUUAUUCACCAGACCUAAAAUGUUUUAGUAAUUCUCUCCAAGAAUUCUCUCCAAGAAUUGUUCCAAAGCUACAGCUCUGUUUCAACCUCCUAGUUCAAACUCCUGAUAAGAUCUUACUGCUUUCUGAAUAAAAUAAAAAUAAUUUCUCAGCCAAAGAGAAAUAUUUGGAUUUAUCCAUAGAGUCUCUUUUAUUUUUCACGUACUAGUAGUUGGUGCAUUCCAUUACACAUUAAAACUGAGCAUCAUCUCUAAUCUCUUAGUUGAUUUUCAAAUAGGUUUCAGUUUCUGGUUUUCUGUACUAAAACAGCUCCAUCUCCACCACUUACCUCUACAUUUCUAAUUUCAUAAUCCCAUAUUGUUUCUGUAAUUUAGAACAUUCUCCUCAUUUGUCUCUGUUGUCCUCUUCUAUUUUGAACUUUAUACCUAUCUUUCAAGUUCACUAAGCAGGUUCUUUGUUCACUGAGCACUUUACUAACACUCCUUUCUUAACUCUCAAUCAUAGGGUACAAACAUACAUGUAAAGUUCAAGUGGCAGUAACUUCACACAUGAGGUUACAGUUAUGGGAUCAAAAUUAAUUUAAUGUAGGGGAACAUAUGAACAAAGGUAGGUUAAUUCGGAAUGAACUAACAGCUUAAACAACAAUUACCUAAAAUCAUUAGAAAUUAAUGUAAAUACAUACAUGGAGGUUUUCUGUGAUUUAUCAAAAUAGUUUUAAAACAAAUUUAGAUAAACUAGUACAGCUUUCUUACAUGUUUUCUGGGAAGUGCCAUUCCUAGCCAGCACUGGAUUACGCAUUUUUAGAAGAGCUAGCUGUACUUUGUCCCAUCUGGUGGUUUACCUCUAAAGUAAGAAAGCUUCAACUGCAUAUUUGCAGUAUACUGCAACUCAUUACCAGGAAGAUAUACAUGUAUUAGUC